This 253-nucleotide ribosomal RNA is filed under the name uncultured bacterium. Its description in RNAcentral is "partial 16S ribosomal RNA". It matches the Rfam family "Bacterial small subunit ribosomal RNA", at positions 524 to 776 of the family's 1533-position model. The record is from RNAcentral.
UACGUAGGUGGCAAGCGAUACUCGGAAUCACUAGGCGUAAAGCGCAGGUAGGCGGUUUGAUAAGUCUUUUGUGAAAGCUCCUGGCUUAACUGGGAGAGGUCAAAGGAAACUGUCAGACUAGAGUUUGGUAGGGGAUACUGGAAUUCCUGGUGUAGCGGUGAAAUGCGUAGAUAUCAGGAGGAAUACCUAUGGCGAAAGCAGGUAUCUGGGCCACAACUGACGCUGAGCUGCGAAAGCUAGGGGAGCAAACAGG